Molecule: long non-coding RNA, 2228 nt
Organism: Meriones unguiculatus (Mongolian gerbil)
Lineage: Eukaryota; Metazoa; Chordata; Mammalia; Rodentia; Muridae
Exons: 4
Source: RefSeq, a predicted model, not a curated record
GAGGAGAGAGAGGGCAUCUGUGGGCUCCUAGAGCUACCUCCUGGGCUGCAGUUCCCAAGGACACAACAGCUCUCUUCUUUUUGUGCCUAUGCAGCCUUGAGCCCUGAUGGGGAAACUGAGGCCGGGAAAGGAUUUGGAGCUUUUCCCAGACAUGGGGCCAGCAUCUGGCAGAAUUGUGUAUUAAGAUAUAACUUCCAGGGUUGCCAGCAUUCUUUGGCUCAGGACUUGGCCCUCUCCUCGUCAGUCCCUGCUUUUGUCCACAGAGCUGCCGCCAUGUCUCCUGCAGUCAAGCAUCCGCCCUUUGUUCUAUAAGGUACUGUCCUGGCUGUUUAUAAAAGGACAUGUCAGGCAAAGACAACUUCUUAAACACAAGCUCUUCGGACCCCAGUCAACAGCUUUCUGAAUCCCAGCCCUUCUCUGAAAAGCAGAACGAUGCCCACGUUGCCCCUGCAGGGACAGUUUAGGAAUGCCAGGGUGGCCUGUCCAUGUGGUGUCCAUUCGUCAGUGUGUCUCUUACAGCCUUAACUCACUGUGCAGGGAACUUCAGUCACUUCUCUGCUUGUGCCUCUGUUUGUGCUUAUGGAGGCUGAAGGCAGGUCUCUGCCUCCGUGAACUCUUCCUCAUCUAGGGUUGAACAAGCAUUUAGCAAGUGAGAUAUGUACAUGCAUGAGGUGCAGAGGUACAGUAAUGGAUAAAUGCACACGUAAACUCAUAGAUGAGCUAGGUAUAGCGGUAAACAUCUUUAAUCCCAGCAUUCAGGAGACAGAGGCAGACUGAUCUCUGCAAGUUCAAGGCCAGCCGGAUCUACAUAGCAAGUUCCGAAACAACCAGGGCUACACAGAGACCCUGUCUCAAAACAAAACAAAUCAAAACACUGACAACCCCCCAAUAAACACAUGGAUGGAUGCAUCCAUGCAUGAGUAGAUGGAUGGGUUCAUCAAUGAAUGCAUGAAGACAUGAAUGUAUGCACAGAGGGGUGAUGCAUAGACUCCUGAAUGCGUGGGUGAAUGGAUGGACAAAUGGCACACAUAGAUACAUGGAUGAUGGUUGCAAUUAUUUAGAAAUCACUUGCUAUUAAAUCAUCAAAGAGGCUAAAACAGGUAUCUCCUUUGACAGCAAAGUGUUUGAAGUCACCAAGGUAGGGCUAGAUUUAGAAAGCUAUGGCCAGUUUUCCCAGUAUCACAAAUGGGUGAAAAAUGACAAAGUUCCACCAAAGUCCAGAAGUCCAGAUGCGUGCCUGCUUCUGGCCAAACAUGCAUGAUAUAUUCUUCUUAAUAAAGCCAGGCUCAUGUCCUCAAAUUAUCCAAGGAAUACAUUUGCCCACCCACAGCGGUGGGGGAAGCGAUUACUUAUUAAUAAGGCAAUAGCUAAAUCUAAUUAUAUCCCCAUCAGAGGCAGCUGGUAAUAAAACCCGCUGGUCUUCCAGAGCUCGCUGACCUCGCUAACCUCAAAUCAAAGUUUAAACCAUCUUUCAGUUUUCCAUACACCCCCAGCACACCUCCCAAUUACGAGCACCCUGGUGCCUCUGUCUGCCAGGGGUCAAAGGUCACCGCAUGCACUAGAUGGCUGGGAGCUGAGAUGGGACUUUAGAAAUCUCAUUAUCCUGUUAACCAUACAUUUAUCUGACAAGAUAAAAGAGACUAGGUGACCAAGCUAUCAUUAAAGAUUAAUAGAAAGUAUAAAAAAUUCAGCUGCAACGAGCUUCGCUGUUUAGGGCUUGUGAUCGGCCUGACAGGGUUAUUAAUCAGGGAGCCAAAAAGAUUUAGGUCUUUGCUCUUGAUAUUUUCUAUUUUUAUUUUCAGGUUUUUUUUUUUUCCUUCCUUCUGUCUUAAGUCAUUACCUUGUCUCCUACCACCCCAAACUGGAGGUCAGAGGAAGCUACUGUUAAUUGGUUCUUCUGUUUUGUUUUUGUUUUUGUUUUUAAUCAUAACCCACCGGGCCAAUUAUAAAAUUGCCAGGACUCAGAAGGAUGAGGUGGACUGGGACGGGGAUUCAAGCUGCUUCCCAGAGCUGUGUCCUCCCCCUCUACCCCGCCUUGUGCCAGGCCUGUUUGUUGGCAGGAAAAAUCGAUAUGUUUUUAAUUUAAUUCAGUCCUGGAAGGCACACCCAAGCCCCAAGACGCUCUCUCCUCAUUCCUGAUUCCAUUUCAAUUUUACAUGAAAAGAUUUUCCAGCCCACGCCUACCGGCGCAUCAGAGGGCAGGAUCGUCCUCAUCAUAUUUCCUUAAG